UUGAAACACUGAUUCCUGUAUGAUCACCAAAGUUAAACAACAUUGAGCCUGCUUAGUACCUAGAUGGGUGACCACUUCAGAGUACCAUGUGCUGUAAG
Acanthosepion pharaonis is the source of this 98-nucleotide non-coding RNA. Lineage: Eukaryota; Metazoa; Mollusca; Cephalopoda; Sepiida; Sepiidae. The record is from the annotation of a GenBank genome assembly.